CAGGGAAUAGUUUAAGAAGAAUCUCAGCUUUGGGUGC
RNAcentral lists this transfer RNA (37 nucleotides) under Canis lupus familiaris (dog). Its description in RNAcentral is "partial tRNA-Pro". The record is from RNAcentral. Lineage: Eukaryota; Metazoa; Chordata; Mammalia; Carnivora; Canidae.